GGCAUAUGUGUGUGAUUGUAUGGAACU
RNAcentral lists this non-coding RNA (27 nucleotides) under Mus musculus (house mouse). The record is from RNAcentral. Lineage: Eukaryota; Metazoa; Chordata; Mammalia; Rodentia; Muridae.